UACGUAGGGUGCAAGCGUUAAUCGGAAUUACUGGGCGUAAAGCGUGCGCAGGCGGUGAUGUAAGACAGGUGUGAAAUCCCCGGGCUUAACCUGGGAACUGCGUUUCUAACUGGCAGGCUUGAGUGUGGCAGAGGGGGGUGGAAUUCCACGUGUAGUAGUGAAAUGCGUAGAGAUGUGGAGGAACACCGAUGGCGAAGGCAGCCCCCUGGGCUAACACUGACGCUCAUGCACGAAAGCGUGGGGAGCAAACAGG
RNAcentral lists this ribosomal RNA (253 nucleotides) under uncultured bacterium. RNAcentral's name for it is "partial 16S ribosomal RNA". It matches the Rfam family "Bacterial small subunit ribosomal RNA", at positions 524 to 776 of the family's 1533-position model. The record is from RNAcentral.